GUACUUUUGGCAGAGAAGAAAAGGUAUCUCCUAAUACGAGGUACUGCUGACGGUAUCUGCAGAAUAAGCACCGGCUAACUACGUGCCAGCAGCCGCGGUAAUACGUAGGGUGCAAGCGUUAAUCGGAAUUACUGGGCGUAAAGCGUGUGUAGGCGGUUCGGAAAGAAAGAUGUGAAAUCCCAGGGCUCAACCUUGGAACUGCAUUUUUAACUGCCGAGCUAGAGUAUGUCAGAGGGGGGUAGAAUUCCACGUGUAGCAGUGAAAUGCGUAGAUAUGUGGAGGAAUACCGAUGGCGAAGGCAGCCCCCUGGGAUAAUACUGACGCUCAGACACGAAAGCGUGGGGAGCAAACAGGAUUAGAUACCCUGGUAGUCCACGCCCUAAACGAUGUCAACUAGCUGUUGGGGCCGUUAGGCCUUAGUAGCGCAGCUAACGCGUGAAGUUGACCGCCUGGGGAGUACGGUCGCAAGAUUAAAACUCAA
This 481-nucleotide ribosomal RNA is filed under the name Pusillimonas sp. DYW15. RNAcentral's name for it is "bacterial SSU rRNA". It matches the Rfam family "Bacterial small subunit ribosomal RNA", at positions 430 to 904 of the family's 1533-position model. The record is from RNAcentral. Lineage: Bacteria; Pseudomonadati; Pseudomonadota; Betaproteobacteria; Burkholderiales; Alcaligenaceae.